Molecule: ribosomal RNA, 230 nt
Filed under: Pseudoalteromonas sp.
Lineage: Bacteria; Pseudomonadati; Pseudomonadota; Gammaproteobacteria; Alteromonadales; Pseudoalteromonadaceae
Description: partial 16S ribosomal RNA
Rfam family: Bacterial small subunit ribosomal RNA
Source: RNAcentral
GGGCGUAAAGCGUACGCAGGCGGUUGAUUAAGCGAGAUGUGAAAGCCCCGGGCUUCAACCUGGGAACUGCAUUUCGAACUGGUCAACUAGAGUGUGAUAGAGGGUGGUAGAAUUUCAGGUGUAGCGGUGAAAUGCGUAGAGAUCUGAAGGAAUACCGAUGGCGAAGGCAGCCACCUGGGUCAACACUGACGCUCAUGUACGAAAGCGUGGGGAGCAAACAGGAUUAGAUC